GAGGAUAUAGCUUAAGUGGUAGAGUGCAUGCUUAAUAUGCACAAGGUCCUGGAUUCAAUCCCCAGUACCUCCU
RNAcentral lists this transfer RNA (73 nucleotides) under Camelus ferus (Wild Bactrian camel). It matches the Rfam family "tRNA". Rfam says of the family: Transfer RNA (tRNA) molecules are approximately 80 nucleotides in length. Lineage: Eukaryota; Metazoa; Chordata; Mammalia; Artiodactyla; Camelidae. The record is from Rfam by way of RNAcentral.